AGAGUUUGAUCAUGGCUCAGAUUGAACGCUGGCGGCAUGCCUUACACAUGCAAGUCGAACGGCAGCACGGGGGCAACCCUGGUGGCGAGUGGCGAACGGGUGAGUAAUGCAUCGGAACGUACCCGGAAGUGGGGGAUAACGUAGCGAAAGUUACGCUAAUACCGCAUAUUCUGUGAGCAGGAAAGCGGGGGAUCGCAAGACCUCGCGCUUCCGGAGCGGCCGAUGUCGGAUUAGCUAGUUGGUGGGGUAAAGGCCUACCAAGGCGACGAUCCGUAGCGGGUCUGAGAGGAUGAUCCGCCACACUGGGACUGAGACACGGCCCAGACUCCUACGGGAGGCAGCAGUGGGGGAAUUUU
This 356-nucleotide ribosomal RNA is filed under the name uncultured bacterium. Its description in RNAcentral is "bacterial SSU rRNA". It matches the Rfam family "Bacterial small subunit ribosomal RNA", at positions 8 to 366 of the family's 1533-position model. The record is from RNAcentral.